AUUGAACGCUGGCGGAAUGCUUUACACAUGCAAGUCGAACGGCAGCACGGACUUCGGUCUGGUGGCGAGUGGCGAACGGGUGAGUAAUGUAUCGGAACGUGCCCAGUCGUGGGGGAUAACGGAGUUAAAAUUACGCUAAUACCGCAUACGAUCUAUGGAUGAAAGCGGGGGAUCGCAAGACUUCGCGCGCUCGGAGCGGCCGAUAUCGGAUUAGGUAGUUGGUGGGGUAAAGGCCCACCAAGCCAACGAUCUGUAGCUGGUCUGAGAGGACGACCAGCCACACUGGAACUGAGACACGGUCCAGACUCCUACGGGAGGCAGCAGUGGGGAAUUUUGGACAAUGGGCGAAAGCCUGAUCCAGCCAUUCCGCGUGCAGGAUGAAGGCCCUCGGGUUGUAAACUGCUUUUGUACAGAACGAAAAGGUUUCUACUAAUACUAGGAGCUCAUGACGGUACUGUAAGAAUAAGCACCGGCUAACUACGUGCCAGCCGCCGCGGUAA
This 500-nucleotide ribosomal RNA is filed under the name uncultured bacterium. Its description in RNAcentral is "partial 16S ribosomal RNA". It matches the Rfam family "Bacterial small subunit ribosomal RNA", at positions 30 to 523 of the family's 1533-position model. The record is from RNAcentral.